Small nuclear RNA from Acomys russatus (golden spiny mouse), 122 nucleotides. The record is from RefSeq and is a predicted model, not a curated record. Lineage: Eukaryota; Metazoa; Chordata; Mammalia; Rodentia; Muridae.
AUGUCAUAUGAAAGGAGAGGUUAACUCUCCCCCUGACGAAGAUGAAAGGGUCUCAAGCCUCACAACAACGCAUGUAGUUAAGGCACCAGCACCCAGGUUGUGGCAUCUAACAGUUAUCUUUA